UAGCUAGUUGGUGAGGUAAAGGCUUACCAAGGCGACGAUCUGUAGCGGGUCUGAGAGGAUGAUCCGCCACACUGGAACUGAGACACGGUCCAGACUCCUACGGGAGGCAGCAGUGGGGAAUUUUGGACAAUGGGGGCAACCCUGAUCCAGCCAUGCCGCGUGAGUGAAGAAGGCCUUCGGGUUGUAAAGCUCUUUCGGCCGGGAAGAAAUCGCAUGGGCCAAUACCCUGUGUGGAUGACGGUACCGGAAUAAGAAGCACCGGCUAACUACGUGCCAGCAGCCGCGGUAAUACGUAGGGUGCGAGCGUUAAUCGGAAUUACUGGGCGUAAAGCGUGCGCAGGCGGUUUUGUAAGACAGGCGUGAAAUCCCCGGGCUUAACCUGGGAACUGCGUUUGUGACUGCAAGGCUAGAGUACGGCAGAGGGGGGUGGAAUUCCACGUGUAGCAGUGAAAUGCGUAGAGAUGUGGAGGAACACCAAUGGCGAAGGCAGCCCCCUGGGUCGAUACUGACGCUCAUGCACGAAAGCGUGGGUAGCAAACAGGAUUAGAUACCCUGGUAGUCCACGCCCUAAACUAUGUCAACUAGGUGUUGGGUGGGUAAAACCAUUUAGUACCGUAGCUAACGCGUGAAGUUGACCGCCUGGGGAGUACGGCCGCAAGGUUAAAACUCAAAGGAAUUGACGGGGACCCGCACAAGCGGUGGAUGAUGUGGAUUAAUUCGAUGCAACGCGAAAAACCUUACCUACCCUUGACAUGCCAGGAACUUGCCAGAGAUGGCUUGGUGCCCGAAAGGGAGCCUGGACACAGGUGCUGCAUGGCUGUCGUCAGCUCGUGUCGUGAGAUGUUGGGUUAAGUCCCGCAACGAGCGCAACCCUAGUCGUUAAUUGCCAUCAUUUAGUUGGGCACUUUAACGAGACUGCCGGUGACAAACCGGAGGAAGGUGGGGAUGACGUCAAGUCCUCAUGGCCCUUAUGGGUAGGGCUUCACACGUCAUACAAUGGUCGGUACAAAGGGUUGCCAAGCCGCGAGGCGGAGCCAAUCCCAGAAAGCCGAUCGUAGUCCGGAUUGCAGGCUGCAACUCGCCUGCAUGAAGUCGGAAUCGCUAGUAAUCGUGGAUCAGCAUGUCACGAUGAAUACGUUCCCGGGUCUUGUACACACCGCCCGUCACACCAUGGGAGCGGGUUCCGCCAGAAGUAGGUAGCCUAACCGCAAGGGGGGCGCUUACCACGGCGGGGUUCGUGACUGGGGUGAAGUCGUAACAAGGUAGCCGUAGGGGAACCUGCGGCUG
RNAcentral lists this ribosomal RNA (1287 nucleotides) under metagenome. RNAcentral describes it as "bacterial SSU rRNA". It matches the Rfam family "Bacterial small subunit ribosomal RNA", at positions 242 to 1520 of the family's 1533-position model. The record is from RNAcentral.